This 440-nucleotide ribosomal RNA is filed under the name uncultured bacterium. Its description in RNAcentral is "partial 16S ribosomal RNA". It matches the Rfam family "Bacterial small subunit ribosomal RNA", at positions 338 to 795 of the family's 1533-position model. The record is from RNAcentral.
CCUACGGGAGGCAGCAGUAGGGAAUAUUGCUCAAUGGGGGAAACCCUGAAGCAGCAACGCCGCGUGGAGGAUGAAGGUUUUCGGAUUGUAAACUCCUUUUGUUAGAGAAGAUAAUGACGGUAUCUAACGAAUAAGCACCGGCCAACUCCGUGCCAGCAGCCGCGGUAAUACGGAGGGUGCAAACGUUACUCGGAAUCACUGGGCGUAAAGAGCACGUAGGCGGGUUAGCAAGUCAGAUGUGAAAUCCUAUGGCUUAACCAGAGAACUGCAUUUGAAACUGUUAUUCUAGAGUAUGGGAGAGGUGGGUGGAAUUCUUGGUGUAGGGGUAAAAUGCGUAGAGAUCAAGAGGAAUACUCAUUGCGAAGGCGACCUCCUAGAACAUAACUGACGCUGAGGCGCGAAAGCGUGGGGAGCAAACAGGAUUAGAUACCCGGGUAGUC